GUCGAGCGAACAGACGAGGAGCUUGCUUCUCUGACGUUAGCGGCGGACGGGUGAGUAACACGUGGAUAACCUACCUAUAAGACUGGGAUAACUUCGGGAAACCGGAGCUAAUACCGGAUAAUAUAUUGAACCGCAUGGUUCAAUAGUGAAAGACGGUUUUGCUGUCACUUAUAGAUGGAUCCGCGCCGCAUUAGCUAGUUGGUAAGGUAACGGCUUACCAAGGCAACGAUGCGUAGCCGACCUGAGAGGGUGAUCGGCCACACUGGAACUGAGACACGGUCCAGACUCCUACGGGAGGCAGCAGUAGGGAAUCUUCCGCAAUGGGCGAAAGCCUGACGGAGCAACGCCGCGUGAGUGAUGAAGGUCUUCGGAUCGUAAAACUCUGUUAUUAGGGAAGAACAAAUGUGUAAGUAACUAUGCACGCCUUGACGGUACCUAAUCAGAAAGCCACGGCUAACUACGUGCCAGCAGCCGCGGUAAUACGUAGGUGGCAAGCGUUAUCCGGAAUUAUUGGGCGUAAAGCGCGCGUAGGCGGUUUUUUAAGUCUGAUGUGAAAGCCCACGGCUCAACCGUGGAGGGUCAUUGGAAACUGGAAAACUUGAGUGCAGAAGAGGAAAGUGGAAUUCCAUGUGUAGCGGUGAAAUGCGCAGAGAUAUGGAGGA
This 662-nucleotide ribosomal RNA is filed under the name uncultured Staphylococcus sp. Its description in RNAcentral is "bacterial SSU rRNA". It matches the Rfam family "Bacterial small subunit ribosomal RNA", at positions 61 to 705 of the family's 1533-position model. Lineage: Bacteria; Bacillati; Bacillota; Bacilli; Caryophanales; Staphylococcaceae. The record is from RNAcentral.